UAUGGGCGUAAAGCGUCCGUAGGUGGUGUUCAAGUCUGCUGUAAAAGCGUGCGGCUUAACCGCAUACCAGCAGUGGAAACUGGGCGACUAGAGUGCGGUAGGGGUCAGGGGAAUUCCCAGUGUAGCGGUGAAAUGCGUAGAUAUUGGGAAGAACACCGGUGGCGAAAGCGCCUGACUGGACCUGCACUGACACUGAGGGACGAAAGCUAGGGGAGCGAAAGGGAUUAGAUACCCCUGUAGUCCUAGCCGUAAACGAUGGACACUAGGUGUUGCCCGUAUCGACCCGGGCAGUGCCGUAGCCAACGCGUUAAGUGUCCCGCCUGGGGAGUACGCUCGCAAGAGUGAAACUCAAAGGAAUUGACGGGGGCCCGCACAAGCGGUGGAGUAUGUGGUUUAAUUCGAUGCAACGCGAAGAACCUUACCAGGGCUUGACAUGUCCAGAACCCUCUUGAAAGGGAGGGGUGCCUUCGGGAACUGGAGCACAGGUGGUGCAUGGCUGUCGUCAGCUCGUGUCGUGAGAUAUUGGGUUAAGUCCCGCAACGAGCGCAACCCUCGUUUUUAGUUGCCAUCAUUCAGUUGGGCACUCUAGAGAGACUGCCGGUGACAAACCGGAGGAAGGUGGGGAUGACGUCAAGUCAGCAUGCCCCUUACGUCCUGGGCUACACACGUACUACAAUGCUGCGGACAAAGGGUUGCAAGCUCGCGAGAGCAAGCUAAUCCCAUAAACCGUGGCUCAGUUCAGAUUGCAGGCUGCAACUCGCCUGCAUGAAGGAGGAAUCGCUAGUAAUCGCAGGUCAGCAUACUGCGGUGAAUACGUUCCCGGGCCUUGUACACACCGCCCGUCACACCAUGGGAGUUGGCCACGCCCGAAGUCGUUACUCCAACCGAAAGGAGGAGGACGCCGAAGGCAGGGCUGAUGACUGGGGUGAAGUCGUAACAAGGUAA
RNAcentral lists this ribosomal RNA (945 nucleotides) under uncultured bacterium. RNAcentral describes it as "bacterial SSU rRNA". It matches the Rfam family "Bacterial small subunit ribosomal RNA", at positions 553 to 1499 of the family's 1533-position model. The record is from RNAcentral.